AGUUUAAAGUAUAUAUUUUAAAUGAAUCCUGCCCAGUGUUUUUUAUAAAUGGCCGCAGUACCCUGACUGUGCAAAGGUAGCAUAAUCAAUUGGCUUUUAAUUGAAGUCUGGAAUGAAAGGAGACUUGGAAAAAAGCUGUCUUAAAAAUAAUUUUUUUAAUUUAAUAAUUAGGUGAAAAUACCUAUUCUUAGAAAAAAGACGAGAAGACCCUAAGAAUUUUUAUAAUAUUAUAUAUUUAAUAAUUUAUUUUUGUUGGGGCGACAAUUAAGCAAUUUUUAACCUUAAUUUUAAAAUUUAACGAUAUUGUUAUAAAAGAAUAAAUUACCUUAGGGAUAACAGCAUUAUUUUGUAAAGUUUGUGACCUCGAUGUUGGACUAGGAACUUUAUGGCUAGCAGUCUAAAAAGAUUUGUUCUGUUCGAACAGUUUUAUCCU
This 433-nucleotide ribosomal RNA is filed under the name Kessneria papillosa. RNAcentral's name for it is "partial large subunit ribosomal RNA". It matches the Rfam family "Bacterial large subunit ribosomal RNA", at positions 1828 to 2597 of the family's 2925-position model. The record is from RNAcentral. Lineage: Eukaryota; Metazoa; Mollusca; Gastropoda; Planorbidae.